Molecule: transfer RNA, 69 nt
Filed under: Cricetulus griseus (Chinese hamster)
Lineage: Eukaryota; Metazoa; Chordata; Mammalia; Rodentia; Cricetidae
Rfam family: tRNA
About the family: Transfer RNA (tRNA) molecules are approximately 80 nucleotides in length. Their secondary structure includes four short double-helical elements and three loops (D, anti-codon, and T loops).
Source: Rfam by way of RNAcentral
GGGGCUGUAACUCAAUGGUAGGGUACUUGCCUAGCAAGCAUGGGGCUCUGGGUUUGUCUCCUAGCACCA